RNAcentral lists this unclassified non-coding RNA (273 nucleotides) under fungal sp. Its description in RNAcentral is "partial internal transcribed spacer region". The stretch from base 1 to 46 matches the Rfam family "Eukaryotic small subunit ribosomal RNA", at positions 1786 to 1831 of the family's 1831-position model. Lineage: Eukaryota; Fungi. The record is from RNAcentral.
AAGUCGUAACAAGGUUUCCGUAGGUGAACCUGCGGAAGGAUCAUUAAAAAAGUACGCCCCAGCUAAGGUGUAAAAACGCUGACUGCUGGUGGCUGUAUUCAACCACUUGUUUACUUGUACCUGUUGCUUCCGUGGAGUUACGGGUGCUCGCCCUGUUCGCAGGUGUGGGUUACCUUCCACGGGUGUAAUUUGAACGCUUGUUUAGUUGCAUGUAGUGUCUGAAUAACUAUUUUAAUAAAGUUAAAACUUUCAACAACGGAUCUCUAGGUUCUC